UGCUCAUCACUGCAAGGUCUGAGUCCUCUCUGGAGUUAGUGGCCAUAUCCUCAGAAUACCCCCAUGAGCUGGAUGUUACCGUCCUCUUUCUCAGCCUGUUGCUCGCUGUGGCACCAGAUCAGAUGCCUUCACAUAUGCCUGGUGUGGCAGAGGGGGAACUGAGAUCAGAGAGAUUGUGGAAGAUCUGUGUGGUCUGACUGGGCUGAUAAACUGCUGUGGUAGAGGUUCUCGAAGCCAGGUCUAAGCAAGUGGUUUUCCCCAUGUGGCACACUGUGUAGAGAACCCAUGACAUUAACUUGGACCUUGAGGGCAAUGCAGAUGCACUGGUCCAGCAGCACCACACCACUUGCCUACAGCAGGAGAUGCACCUGGAAUCCUUUUAUUUUGGAUGAGCACUGCAUUGUGCUCCUGUAUGUGCUGUGUGGGGAAGGGGCUGAAGCACAGAUGUCCUGAAACCUUUGUAAAUACUCUUCCUUCCUAAUGAACACCACUGGUAUUGCCAAUGACUACAAUUUUAUUUUGCACACUGACACGCAAAAGGCCCUGAAAAUAGUUAUGAAAACACAGUCUAACAGACAGCAACACAGUUUAACAGACAGCUUGCUCAGACAAACUACCCAGUUCAGCACUACAUUACUCCUAAUGAAACCAGUCUGGAGAUGCAAUGUGACCAGAAACAACUUCUUUGUUUACUGGGUGUGUUUGAAAGGUGAAAGGGAACAGGACUAGACUCUAAGUCACUGUUUGAUGAAGCCACAUCAUCUCCUUAACUCUCAGAAAUAAAUAUUUGGUUUAUGUUUUUUCUUCCAUUUUAAAAUGUUUUUAUUUGGACAUAGACAAUAUAUGGAUUCUUUAUUGUUUAUGUGCUCUGUAGGAACAGAUCUCUAGACAGUUAGCUUAGAAACUUACUUUGCUUAGCAUGGCUUUUUUUUUUUUUUUUUUUUUUAAGAGGUAGAAUGAGUUAAAUGCGGAAUUGAAAUUACCAUUUUAAAGCUUGUCUUGAAAAGAAAAAAGUCUUAAACAAGAUAGACAAUUAUAUAAUGAAGAUUUUGGUAUUCUUAAUAGUUUCACAGAACUAACCUGUGAUUCCAUCCAUCAGUUCACUGGAAGACACUUGGAAUCAAGUCAAGUCACCUUCCUGAAUACAUGUGCCCUGUGAACACUGAGUGUAGUACUAUGAUCAUCUAAAACCUGUUAGCUGUCACAUGCAAGGAGGCCAUGCCCCACAGGUCCCACAUUUCAACUUUACUGUGACCCAGUUGGAAUACUGCAUAAGUUACUGCAUGGAAAACACUGAACUAAUUUUUUUCUCACUUAUUUCCAUGUAAUUUCCUGAGUCACUGGGAAAAAAAUAAACAAAACUGAGCCUACAGAAAAUCUGGACCCUACUAGAGAUAUUGUCUUUAUGGUCAGUGCAAAAUCAUUCAGAAUGAUUAUUUUGAUCUGAAUCUCCAUGUACAUUAUUAUUGGUGUUAAUGGGAAUGGAGGAUAUACAUGUGAGCUGUUGGAAUCAGAACAGUGGGAUGGGAAUGAUACAUAACGAAGAGAAAACUCCCUGGCCAGGGAAUUCAGACAGUGCUGUGCAGUCACUGCUAUGCUAUUUGCCACGUGCUAUAUACAGUCACAAAAUAUUCCACUCAGUCAGAGACAUGGCCAGAAAAAGCCCUGCGAACCCCAAAGUCUUACAGUCUUAUAAUAACCACUGAAGCACGCCUUCCACCACAAAAGGAAUACAGCAAAGCUCCUGUUGACCCACACGGGAAAAGCUAUGUGCAAUUUAUUCAGAAUAUAAAGAAGCAGAAAAAAUCAGGGGGGCUCAUUUCAGUAGAUCCAUGGCCUUUUGGCAUUGCUCUGGAACUGUGAAGCACAUGUGAGGUAGGAAUAAUGUAAAUUUCUGGCUACAUUCACAACAUUUCAUUGUGUAUGAAUGACAUGUUAUAAAUGAUUUGAGGUUUUCAGAAAAUCUAUUUGCUUCCAUGGAAUAAAAAAUAAAUUUGUGUAAAAGUAUUUGGUUGAGAAAGGAUUCUGUCAUUUAAAACAUUCAUUUCAAAACUAAUUUGGGUUCUUCUCCUAACUCCUUCCACUUUUUAAUUUGCAAAUUUAUGUUUCGUGACAACUGUUGGACCAGCAUACAGAGAGGCUAGUCAUCACUUGAAGCUCAAAUGCAGAAACUCAGAAAAAUAAAAAGCACUGGAAUCUUCUUGACUGUUUAUUGCACUGGAAAACAAAGGAACUUAAUGAUGAUACAAUAGUAAAAUGCCAUCCCUAUUGUCUACAACUUUGUGUAUGUUAUUAUUAUUAUCACUCCCAUUAUUAUUUUUCUGAAAAAAAAAUCAGUCUAGGACUUCAGUUACAAUCAAACCACAAAAAGGAAAAAACAGAAAACACAAUAAGCUGCUGACUGACUUGUCUCCCAAAAUGCUUAGGCAGCUGCUAUUUUUUUGAUAGUAUUUUUGAUAGUUGUAAUUUCAAAUUACUGCAGUCAGGUCAUUUUCAUUUGGUCUUUUUGGCCAACACCAAUGUAGCAGAAAACUGAGCAAAUGGCAUCUAUUUAUAUCGUGGUUUCGAGAAGAGAAUGGGGCAGUGUGUGUCUUGUCUCAUACAAGAAGAGUAGCCACAGAAGGAAGAGAGCUGAAGAUGGUGAAGACAUUACACCAGGGCUGAUGGGGACUUUGGAGCACCAUGCUGUAACAUAGCCACUCAGGGAAGGGUGAGACAAGUCCCAUAGAUCCUGUCAACCAAGGUAGCCCAUGGAAAGGAUGUCUUUGUUGGUGCUGACUGUCCUACAUAAGGCAGGUAGAUCAAAACCUGGCUUGGUAGCCUUUUUGGUGGAGUGCUGAACUAUGACCCCAGCAAAAUCACAUUGGCCAAUGACUGGAAGAUAUGACAAGGAGCAAGAGCCAGGGAGACCCUGUUUGUUAGCCUGGAGGUCCCCACUGCUGAAAUGGCUUAGAAAGAAUGUUAUUUGUGGUGGCACUGACAGUUUUUGCAAUCAGUAUUUGAAGAGGUGUAUCAUCCACGGUGAAUAUGCUGCAGCUGCGAGAUCUAUUGUACAUACUGUCAGAGCUCCUCUGUUCCUUUCCAUAUAAAACUCCCCAGCUCUUUCUCACACUGACUGAGGAAAGGGUAUACCCAGGGCCACUGCAAGGGCAAGGGAGAGUAGUGAGAAGGAUCAAGCUGGCAAAUGUUUUUCUGUUAGAUUUCUACAGAGUUUAGGAAGUUUCCCUAUGUCAUCUUCCAUCUGUCUGUCUGUUCUCCACCUCCAUCAUCACAGUAGUUCAUCCAAACUGCAACAAGAAAAUUAUGAAACAUAAAAAGAAACUACCCCAAAUCUCCACUCUCUAGCAGUUUUGGUGCAAGUGCAAUCAUAAUCCGGAAUUACAGCAACAAACCUUGUAUGCUGUUGUAGUUUAUUAUUUAACUGAAGCAAAUUGCCAUUAUUUUCUUACCAGGCCUGAGGGAUGGUUUGCAAGUCAUUCUCAUGCUUCAUGGUGCCUUCAACUCAACAUGAACACAGGCUGCAAAGUUAGCUCCCAAAUACAUUGGAUCAUGAAUUGAUGAUGGUGGCAAUGUGCUUUCAGGGGAUUUAGCACUUCCCCCUCUUUUGUUCCAAUGGGAACCAGGAUAGGGAAAUGAUAAAUUCCCAGAAAAGAGAAAGAUUUUUAAAAGUUUUUGAGGUUCAUAGUAUAGUCUAAAAACCACUUAUGUUAGGAACGAGUAGCUGG
Cairina moschata (Muscovy duck) is the source of this 3725-nucleotide long non-coding RNA. NCBI's taxonomy places the organism in Eukaryota, Metazoa, Chordata, Aves, Anseriformes, Anatidae. The record is from Ensembl.